This 353-nucleotide long non-coding RNA is filed under the name Ictidomys tridecemlineatus (thirteen-lined ground squirrel). RNAcentral describes it as "lncRNA (ENSSTOG00000033939.1)". Lineage: Eukaryota; Metazoa; Chordata; Mammalia; Rodentia; Sciuridae. The record is from RNAcentral.
UGCUCUCUCUGAUAAGUGGAGGGACAGGAAGAGGACAUAAGGGCAGGAAAGAUGGUGGAAUGGGAUGGACAUCAUUACCCUGGAUUCAUGUGUGACUGCACACAUGGUGCAACGCUACAUCCUGUACAACCAGAGAAGUUUUCUACGUUUUGACGCUACUUACUUUCAGACAUGCUCACUCCAGGACUGCAAACUAGGAAGACCUUCACAGCUACUCGAUCCAACAGUAUCAGAACUGGGUAUGCUUCUUUGACACUCUGAACUCUGAAGCUUCUUAAGUAAAGAACAUAAGAUCAAGCUCACCUAAUAAUUGUUGGUAGACCCAAGAAAAUUAAUGGAAUAGUCCUAAAUUC